CUAUGUGUAGUUGCCUGUCAGCAUUCGUUGUAUAUAGCUUCACGGUCAGUGGUUAUUCUUCAUUAAAAUAAGUAUGUACGGAUACCACGCUGCGCCUUGGUCUCAUCAAUACGAUGAACGUGACAUUUGGACCUAACUGAAUUGCCUGAGAAACUGUUUCUAGUGUAGAGAUUUGUCGCAAGUUCUAUCUAGGAUCCUUGGGACUACCCUAAACCCUAACCCCUACCCUUAUCCUAACCUUAACCCUUAGUUAGCCCUAACCUUAAACCUUACCUUAACCCUUACCUUAACCAUUUUAAAUGUAAUCUUCAAUAGGGUAGGGACGUCCCAAGCAUUCCAGACAGCAUGAACCUUUGUGAUUAACAACGAGAGCCAUUGGUAUCGUCUGCUUUCCAUUCACUGUGUGAGCGACUACAUUCCACUGUUCUCCACUGUCGACAGAAAAACGUUCAAGAAUUAAGAGCAGGGGGACACUACAGAUGGAGGAGUGAACAGGACGAUCCAGACACUACAGAUGGAGGAGUGAACAGGACGAUCCAGACACUACAGAUGGAGGAGUGAACAGGACGAUCCAGACACUACAGAUGGAGGAGUGAACAGGACGAUCCAGACACUACAGAUGGAGUAGUGAACAGGACGAUCCAGACACUACAGAUGGAGGAGUGAACAGGACGAUCCAGACACUACAGAUGGAGGAGUGAACAGGACGAUCCAGACACUACAGAUGGAGGAGUGAACAGGACGAUCCAGACACUACAGAUGGAGGAGUGAACAGGACGAUCCAGACACUACAGAUGGAGUGGUGAACAGGACGAUCCAGACACUACAGAUGGAGGAGUGAACAGGACGAUCCAGACACUACAGAUGGAGGAGUGAACAGGACGAUCCAGACACUACAGAUGGAGGAGUGAACAGGACGAUCCAGAAGUUCUAUAAUAUCCUCCAAUAUUCUUUAUGGGCAACUUGUUUUGAUAUUUUGGGUGUUAUACCAUUUGGUUUACAGUAACUUAAAGGAUUUGGGCAUUAUUUCUGAAGCAUCCUGUCGUAGGCCAUACCACUCCCAUUGUUUCACUAUCAGCGAUGCUAAUGGUGGCAUGUUUGGUGAGUAAAUAAAGAAAACUAAGCCAUAUUUUUUGUCAAUAUAUUCAAUACCCCCCAAAAAGGUUGUUGUAGUUAGUUGCAAAAAAUGGUUUAUUAUUAUUAUGACUGGUAAUGUUUGUACUGAUUAAAUACUUCUUGAUAUUUUCCAACGAAAACCUGCACCACGCUGUAAACUCUCAAU
Molecule: long non-coding RNA, 1282 nt
Organism: Oncorhynchus kisutch (coho salmon)
Lineage: Eukaryota; Metazoa; Chordata; Actinopteri; Salmoniformes; Salmonidae
Exons: 3
Source: RefSeq, a predicted model, not a curated record